GAUGAACGCUGGCUACAGGCUUAACACAUGCAAGUCGAGGGGAAACGACGGGGAAGCUUGCUUCCUUGGGCGUCGACCGGCGCACGGGUGAGUAACGCGUAUCCAACCUGCCUCUGACUGAGGGAUAACCCGUCGAAAGUCGGCCUAAUACCUCAUGGUAUCGUCUGCGGGCAUCCAACGACGAUUAAAGAUUUCAUCGGUCAGGGAUGGGGAUGCGUCUGAUUAGCUUGUUGGCGGGGUAACGGCCCACCAAGGCUACGAUCAGUAGGGGUUCUGAGAGGAAGGUCCCCCACAUUGGAACUGAGACACGGUCCAAACUCCUACGGGAGGCAGCAGUGAGGAAUAUUGGUCAAUGGGCGAGAGCCUGAACCAGCCAAGUAGCGUGCAGGAAGACGGCCCUAUGGGUUGUAAACUGCUUUUAUGCGGGGAUAAAGUGAGGGACGUGUCCUUCAUUGCAGGUACCGCAUGAAUAAGGACCGGCUAAUUCCGUGCCAGCAGCCGCGGUAAUACGGAAGGUCCUGGCGUUAUCCGGAUUUAUUGGGUUUAAAGGGAGCGUAGGCCGUGGAUUAAGCGUGUUGUGAAAUGCAGGUGCUCAACGUCUGCACUGCAGCGCGAACUGGUCCACUUGAGUGUGCGCAACGCAGGCGGAAUUCGUCGUGUAGCGGUGAAAUGCUUAGAUAUGACGAAGAACUCCGAUUGCGAAGGCAGCUUGCGGGAGCACAACUGACGCUGAAGCUCGAAAGUGCGGGUAUCGAACAGG
This 760-nucleotide ribosomal RNA is filed under the name uncultured Prevotella sp. RNAcentral's name for it is "bacterial SSU rRNA". It matches the Rfam family "Bacterial small subunit ribosomal RNA", at positions 28 to 776 of the family's 1533-position model. The record is from RNAcentral. Lineage: Bacteria; Pseudomonadati; Bacteroidota; Bacteroidia; Bacteroidales; Prevotellaceae.